Drosophila santomea is the source of this 2340-nucleotide RNA transcript. It is a transcript of the gene named odorant receptor 85f, with no coding region annotated. Lineage: Eukaryota; Metazoa; Arthropoda; Insecta; Diptera; Drosophilidae. The transcript has 5 exons. The record is from RefSeq and is a predicted model, not a curated record.
UGAGCGAAGUUCAGCAUGGGUGUGAACCCAUAGACACAUGUAGUCAUAUAUCUAUCUACGUUCGGUUUAUAUAGCUCGCUGGGCCGGAAUUAUUUCAAAUUGUGCAAUACUGUGACAGCAAUAAAUGCAUGCUUGAUGGGCUGGAAUGAAGCCACCAAAUCAAAACAAAACCAUUAAGAUAUCUUGUAGUAUCUGUAUCCAACAGAUACACUUGUAUCUUGGGCUGCUUUUCAAUGAAUCUCUAUGGGGAUCAGCAUCAGUUGCUUAUGCAAGGUAGUUUAUGAAAUGUUCUGCUCACUUUCAAGCCAACUAUUUGCUUACCAGAGGUAACACCUUUCAGUUGGAAGGUUGCUCCAAUGUCAAAAGCAGAGACACCUCCUUUGCUGCAGCCUGGCUGCUUAGCAUUCCGGUCAGCAGUCGGAUAGAAGCUAUAGAAUGGACGACUCCCAUGCCAAUUUGUUGCUGUGUGCAAGAAUUUCCAACAUGUCCGCAACAAAGGCAACAAACAAUAAAGACAAGUGCAGCAACAAUGGAACGGUAAACGCGCCCAAGAAAACUGAGCAGCUCAUUUAUGGAAAUUAUUAAGUGCAAGCUCGGACCAAAGCGGUUACUUCUCUCCAGUCAAACGGCAUUAUUAUGCGUACAUAUUUUUAUGGGCAAGUGGACGGGAAUGGGCACACAAGCUGCCUGCUCAAGUCUUAAUAACCGAAAGCUAAUUAAAUUUGGGACCCUCUUGAUAAAACUAUUAAAACUGGGCGAGUUGGGAAAUCUUGGAAAAGUGGCCGCCUUAAACGCCACAUGCGUAAAAAAAUAAAAUUCAAAAGAUAUAAAAAAAGUUGCUUAAGCAUUGCAGUGUCUUAACAAAUAUGCUUCAGUAAAUGGGAAUCAUUACCCUGCGAAUAAUUUAAAUUCAAAGAGCAAAUUUGAAUUAUUAAUGCGUUCAACACCUUGCCUAAUUGGCAACACUUACGUUUUCCCUUCUAUUAGUGGGAACCAUGAGAAAACCAAUUCCCAAACCGCAAACCAAUCCCACAGGACGAAGGACCCUAUAUAACCGCCUUUCCCGAGCAAAACUAGCCACAUAACACCUUCAGAAUGGAGCCAGUGCAGUACAGCUACGAGGAUUUCGCCCGAUUACCCACGAUGGUGUUUUGGUUCAUUGGCUACGACAUGCUGGACGUACCAAAGAGUCGCUCCCGCAGGAUACUCAACCGGAUAUAUCGCUUCCUGUGCCUCGCCAGCCAUACGGUCUGUGUGGGCGUUAUGAUAUUUCGCAUGGUGGAGGCGAAGACCAUUGACAAUGUGUCGCUGAUCAUGCGCUACGCCACUCUGGUCACCUAUAUCAUCAACUCGGACACCAAGUUCGCCACCGCCUUGCAAGGCAAUGCCAUCCAAAGCCUCAACUUAAAACUGGCCGAACUAUAUCCGAAAAGCACGCUGGACAGGAUCUAUCACCGGGUGAAUGAUCACUACUGGACCAAGUCAUUUGUAUAUUUGGUUAUUAUUUACAUUGGUUCAUCGAUUAUGGUUGUCAUUGGACCGCUUAUUACAUCGAUUUUAGCCUACUUCACACAAAACGUUUUCACCUACAUGCACUGCUAUCCAUACUUUUUGUACGAUCCUGAGCAGGAUCCGGUUUGGAUCUACAUUGGCAUCUAUGCUCUGGAAUGGCUGCACAGCACACAUAUGGUCAUUUCGAACAUUGGCGCGGAUAUCUGGCUGCUGUACUUUCAGGUGCAGAUUAAUCUGCACUUUAGAGGCAUUAUACGUUCGCUGGAGGAUCACAAGCCCAGUGUGAUGCACGACCAGGAGGACAGGCAAUUCCUUGCGAGAAUUGUGGACAAGCAAGUUCACCUGGUCAGUUUGCAAAACGAUCUGAAUGACAUCUUUGGGGGAUCGCUACUUUUGAGCCUGCUGACCACCGCAGCGGUUAUCUGCACGGUGGCGGUGUACACUCUGAUUCAGGGUGCCACUUUGGAGGGCUUCACCUAUGUGAUCUUCAUCGGGACUUCGGUGACGCAGGUCUACCUGGUGUGCUAUUACGAGCGGCGAGGUGGCCCACGCCGUGUACAAUCAUGAUUUCCACGAUGCCUCUAUUGCCUACAAGAGGUACCUGCUCAUCAUCAUUAUCAGGGCACAGCAGCCGGUGGAACUGAAUGCCAUGGGUUACCUGUCCAUUUCACUGGACACCUUUAAACAGCUGAUGACCGUUUCCUACCGCGUUAUCACCAUGCUCAUGCAGAUGAUUCAGUAGAGAGCAAUAAAGGAAGGAGUUUUCAACUUUGGACGCUUUAAUCGCACUACGCUAGUAACUACGUUUCUAUACAACUAGAUCACUUG